Molecule: ribosomal RNA, 497 nt
Filed under: uncultured bacterium
Lineage: Bacteria
Description: partial 16S ribosomal RNA
Rfam family: Bacterial small subunit ribosomal RNA
Source: RNAcentral
GAUGAACGCUGGCGGCGUGCCUAAUACAUGCAAGUCGAGCGAACGGACGAGAAGCUUGCUUUUCUGAUGUUAGCGGCGGACGGGUGAGUAACACGUGGAUAACCUACCUAUAAGACUGGGAUAACUUCGGGAAACCGGAGCUAAUACCGGAUAAUAUUUUGAACCGCAUGGUUCAAAAGUGAAAGACGGUCUUGCUGUCACUUAUAGAUGGAUCCGCGCUGCAUUAGCUAGUUGGUAAGGUAACGGCUUACCAAGGCAACGAUGCAUAGCCGACCUGAGAGGGUGGUCGCCCACCCUGGAACUGCGACACGGUCCAGACUCCUACGGGAGGCAGCAGUAUGGAAUCUUCCGCAAUGGGCGAAAGCCUGACGGAGCAACGCCGCGUGAGUGAUGAAGGUCUUCGGAUCGUAAAACUCUGUUAUUAGGGAAGAACAUAUGUGUAAGUAACUGUGCCCAUCUUGACGGUACCUAAUCAGAAAGCCCCGGCUAACUACGUG